GGGUUUUGUUUUGUUUUUCCCGAAGUGGCUUUCCAUUGCCUACUUUCUAGGACUGAGACAGAGUGAUUGGCCCAAGGUCACCCAGCUGGCUUCAUACUCAAGGUAGGACUAGAACUCACAGUCUCUGGUUUCUAGGGUGAUGCUUUAACCCAGGGACCGUACUUAUAUAGCCCAUUUUGUUUUCUUACACCAUUUUAAAUUAUUAAGCAUUACACCAUCUGAAAAGUUUAACCAAGUGUCAUGUUAAUAAAAUAUGGGACAUUUACAUAAAUGACAACAUUAAUGUACAGUCAAUAUAGCAGACAUUAUCACAAUACAACAGAUUUUUGUACAGGUAGCUAAAUCAGCUAUUUGAAAAUUAUUUUCCAAAAUGACAAACUUUGGGGUAUUUCCUAACUACUUCAUGAGAAAUCUUACAUUUUUCCGUGAUCUGGAGGAUGUGAGGAGCUUGUGUUUGUUUUGCGGAUCCAGAUUUGAAAAAAAUAAAAGAUUUAUAGCUUAUCAUUUUUAAUAUGUAGGGCUAUUCUGUAAGUAAGAGUUGAAAUGUGUAGGUAAUUCAUACAGUUCUCAUGUUUUGAUUCCUCUCCAUCUAUCUCACUUCUUUCUUGAUCCAUUUAUAAAUAUUUUAGGUAUUGCCUUUGUACCAUGUGACUUACAUGCAUUAUGGAAACGUACCGAACUCUUUAGGCACAGAUUGUAACUGAUAAAGGAGCAAGAUACCCGAGAAAAAUAAUUUUUCCUCAGUUAGUUUACCCAACCCCGCUGGCUCAGUCACAAUUAUGGCUUGUGUUAUUGCUGAACUGCUUCAAUCUUUAUAUCCUUAAACCAAAUGUAAUAUUUGUAAAUGCGGUUCAUUCUGUAUUGAAUGCUUUUCUCUCUGUUAAAAAUGAAGAUUUUUACGGUGAGGACAUUAAACUCCGAAAUAGAUAAUUAUGGGGAAAGCCUCUCUUGCUUCUGAAACAUCUAUGUAUCUAUUUACACGAUUUCCAUUACUCUUCCAUUAUCUUCCCU
Molecule: non-coding RNA, 1011 nt
Organism: Notechis scutatus (mainland tiger snake)
Lineage: Eukaryota; Metazoa; Chordata; Lepidosauria; Squamata; Elapidae
Source: RefSeq, a predicted model, not a curated record